This 61-nucleotide transfer RNA is filed under the name Desmophyllum pertusum. RNAcentral describes it as "tRNA-Arg". The record is from RNAcentral. Lineage: Eukaryota; Metazoa; Cnidaria; Anthozoa; Scleractinia; Caryophylliidae.
GUGGCCUAAUGGUUAGCGCGCUGGACUCCGGAACGAGCGGUCCGGGUUCGAGCCCUGGUCG